ACUCCUACGGGAGGCAGCAGUGGGGAAUAUUGCACAAUGGGCGCAAGCCUGAUGCAGCAACGCCGUGUGAGUGAAGAAGGUUUUCGGAUCGUAAAACUCUGUCCUAAAGGGAAAGAAAAAAUGACGGUACCUUAGGAGGAAGCCCCGGCUAACUACGUGCCAGCAGCCGCGGUAAUACGGUAGGGGGCAAGCGUUAUCCGGAAUCACUGGGCGUAAAGGGUGCGUAGGCGGCUUAGCAAGCCAGGGGUGAAAGGCAUUGGCUCAACCAAUGUAAGCCUUUGGAACUGUUAAGCUUGAGUGCAGGAGAGGUAAGUGGAAUUCCUAGUGUAGAGGUGAAAUUCGUAGAUAUUAGGAGGAACACCAGUGGCGAAGGCGACUUACUGGACUGUAACUGACGCUGAUGCACGAAAGCGUGGGUAGCGAACAGGAUUAGAUACCCUGGUAGGUCAGUC
This 452-nucleotide ribosomal RNA is filed under the name uncultured bacterium. RNAcentral describes it as "bacterial SSU rRNA". It matches the Rfam family "Bacterial small subunit ribosomal RNA", at positions 335 to 800 of the family's 1533-position model. The record is from RNAcentral.